This 467-nucleotide ribosomal RNA is filed under the name uncultured bacterium. RNAcentral's name for it is "partial 16S ribosomal RNA". It matches the Rfam family "Bacterial small subunit ribosomal RNA", at positions 28 to 507 of the family's 1533-position model. The record is from RNAcentral.
GACGAACGCUGGCGGCGUGCUUAACACAUGCAAGUCGAACGGAAAGGCCCUGCUUUUGUGGGGUGCUCGAGUGGCGAACGGGUGAGUAACACGUGAGUAACCUGCCCUUGACUUUGGGAUAACUUCAGGAAACUGGGGCUAAUACCGGAUAGGAGCUCCUGCUGCAUGGUGGGGGUUGGAAAGUUUCGGCGGUUGGGGAUGGACUCGCGGCUUAUCAGCUUGUUGGUGGGGUAGUGGCUUACCAAGGCUUUGACGGGUAGCCGGCCUGAGAGGGUGACCGGCAAAAUUGGGACGGAGUGAGGGCCCGGACUCCAACGGAGGGCAGGAGGGGGGAAUUUUGAACAAUGGGCGGAAGCCUGAUGCAGCAAGGCCGGGUGCGGGAGGACGGCCUUCGGGUGGUAAACCGCUUUCGCUUGGGAGGAAGCGUAAGGAACGUAAAUGGGGAAGAAGCACCGGCUAACUACGUG